This 1313-nucleotide long non-coding RNA is filed under the name Betta splendens (Siamese fighting fish). Its description in RNAcentral is "lncRNA (ENSBSLG00000018689.1)". The record is from RNAcentral. Lineage: Eukaryota; Metazoa; Chordata; Actinopteri; Anabantiformes; Osphronemidae.
GCAGUGUAAAGCCGAUGGUGUUCAAAUAACAGGCCUGCUCAACCUUGUCACAAUGGAGUCGACGCGACGCCGCGCCGAGAGCCGAUGCGCUAACAAGACUGUCUUUGGAGUAAUUUUAUGCAGAUUAGUUAUAUGCUAAUUUGAAGCAUGACCCCACUGUUUGCCAGAGAAAAUCUGUCUCUUUUUUUUUUGAUCUGCAUAUUAAUGCUCAAAGAAUAGAUGGAAGUUGAGACAUGAAACGGUUUAAUAAAAUCAGCAGGUAAAAGGCAGCCUCAUAAUUAAUCCAGCAAAGACGGAGGCAUUCGCAGACAAUGGCCGCGCCUCGGGUUCAUAAUUGGGCCUUUUAUUGAUAUUCCACAGCCUCUCCGCGGAAUCUCCUGAAACUGUAAUUAAUAUUUCACAGUAAAAAGAAGAGACGGAUGAAGAGCUGUGGCGAGAAGAUGCUUGACUUCCCUCGGUGCAGCUGGCACGACUGUCUGAACCACUCAGACUCGGAACACCCCCCCCCACCCCCCCCCCCCCCCCCCCCCCCUCCCCCUCCUCACCGUGGCGAUAGGUUUCCUCCGCGGCUCAUGAGACUGACCAAAAAUCUGCUUGAUAUUUGAAGAGCAGCAUUUGAUGAAAGGCAUUAGAGGACGUGCAUUAUUUAUGACUGGUGAGUGAUGCAUUAAGUCAUUAAAUAUGCAUACGUACAUUACAUGAGAGAGAACAUGUCCUAUAGCGUGUCAUAUUGAUUCUGGCGUGAGGUUCUGGUCCCCUCUGAUCCACAUGCAGACACGUCAGGGGACGACACCCACCAAAUCGCUCAGAUGAUAAAGUGACGGCGAAAGUCUUCCGUGCGCGCGCGUGCGCGGUCACAGCUGAGGCGCUGCGCAGUUUGAACCCGCCAGAUCGAGGACGGCGUCCGCGCAUGCAGCAGAUUUUGUGUGGGAGCCGAGCGCGCGACGUCACGUGGGGGGAAACCGGGAUGCGCUGCCAAUUCACACAGUUAAAGGACUCGCACGAGCGCCGCUGAACUCGCCGAAGCGAUCGCUUUGCGUCUCCCACUGAUGCCUUCAGUUUUCCACGCGCUCCUGCCGCGAGCGGAACCUGGCCGCUGGGCAGCGGUGACGUAGCGGCAGCGGAGCGACGCGGUGGGUGAACGUCUGAGGCCCCAGCGAAGCUUCACGUGAAUUACUCGGCCCAGAAAAGCAAACCAGGCCGAGCUUCCUCGCGUUAAAAGCCCUUAUUUAUGUUGCAUCAGGUUGAUAGUAAUUACUGCGGUGGCCACGCGCUGUGAAUUUCAACUGUGCAGUUUUGUCAGCUUAAGAAAA